Molecule: ribosomal RNA, 300 nt
Filed under: Triticum aestivum (bread wheat)
Lineage: Eukaryota; Viridiplantae; Streptophyta; Magnoliopsida; Poales; Poaceae
Description: partial small subunit ribosomal RNA
Source: RNAcentral
AUGGCCUCGCCCUCCCAUUCGGGUGGACCAACGGCGUUCCGACAAAACCGACCUACGGCCAUGACACUCUCCCGGCCACUUCGACCGACACCCCUUCUAGGUUCAGUCCUGGAUGGCCCUGCGCCUACCAAAGGCACCAAUGGCCACCGUCGUGGCAAAACAAAAAUGGUCUCAAAUGGGGACAAAAAUGCGCCUAACAACAACUAUGAGCACACAAGGUUAUGUAUGCUUACCGGGCCAGGGUACCGCACGCCCAUAACCUUCCCUCGUUGGAGGCACCGGCGAGAGGCACGACAAUAG